UGACACUGCGCCGAAAAUGUACCGGGGCUAAACAUAUUACCGAAGCUGUGGAUUGUCCUUUGGACAAUGGUAGGAGAGCGUUCUAAGGGCGUUGAAGCAUGAUCGUAAGGACAUGUGGAGCGCUUAGAAGUGAGAAUGCCGGUGUGAGUAGCGAAAGACGGGUGAGAAUCCCGUCCACCGAUUGACUAAGGUUUCCAGAGGAAGGCUCGUCCGCUCUGGGUUAGUCGGGUCCUAAGCUGAGGCCGACAGGCGUAGGCGAUGGAUAACAGGUUGAUAUUCCUGUACCACCUAUAAUCGUUUUAAUCGAUGGGGGGACGCAGUAGGAUAGGCGAAGCGUGCGAUUGGAUUGCACGUCUAAGCAGUAAGGCUGAGUAUUAGGCAAAUCCGGUACUCAUUAAGGCUGAGCUGUGAUGGGGAGAAGACAUUGUGUCUUCGAGUCGUUGAUUUCACACUGCCGAGAAAAGCCUCUAGAUAGAAAAUAGGUGCCCGUACCGCAAACCGACACAGGUAGUCAAGAUGAGAAUUCUAAGGUGAGCGAGCGAACUCUCGUUAAGGAACUCGGCAAAAUGACCCCGUAACUUCGGGAGAAGGGGUGCUCUUUAGGGUUAACGCCCAGAAGAGCCGCAGUGAAUAGGCCCAAGCGACUGUUUAUCAAAAACACAGGUCUCUGCUAAACCGUAAGGUGAUGUAUAGGGGCUGACGCCUGCCCGGUGCUGGAAGGUUAAGAGGAGUGGUUAGCUUCUGCGAAGCUACGAAUCGAAGCCCCAGUAAACGGCGGCCGUAACUAUAACGGUCCUAAGGUAGCGAAAUUCCUUGUCGGGUAAGUUCCGACCCGCACGAAAGGCGUAACGAUUUGGGCACUGUCUCAACGAGAGACUCGGUGAAAUCAUAGUACCUGUGAAGAUGCAGGUUACCCGCGACAGGACGGAAAGACCCCGUGGAGCUUUACUGUAGCCUGAUAUUGAAAUUCGGCACAGCUUGUACAGGAUAGGUAGGAGCCUUUGAAACGUGAGCGCUAGCUUACGUGGAGGCGCUGGUGGGAUACUACCCUAGCUGUGUUGGCUUUCUAACCCGCACCACUUAUCGUGGUGGGAGACAGUGUCAGGCGGGCAGUUUGACUGGGGCGGUCGCCUCCUAAAAGGUAACGGAGGCGCUCAAAGGUUCCCUCAGAAUGGUUGGAAAUCAUUCAUAGAGUGUAAAGGCAUAAGGGAGCUUGACUGCGAGACCUACAAGUCGAGCAGGGUCGAAAGACGGACUUAGUGAUCCGGUGGUUCCGCAUGGAAGGGCCAUCGCUCAACGGAUAAAAGCUACCCCGGGGAUAACAGGCUUAUCUCCCCCAAGAGUUCACAUCGACGGGGAGGUUUGGCACCUCGAUGUCGGCUCAUCGCAUCCUGGGGCUGUAGUCGGUCCCAAGGGUUGGGCUGUUCGCCCAUUAAAGCGGUACGCGAGCUGGGUUCAGAACGUCGUGAGACAGUUCGGUCCCUAUCCGUCGUGGGCGUAGGAAAUUUGAGAGGAGCUGUCCUUAGUACGAGAGGACCGGGAUGGACAUACCUCUGGUGUACCAGUUGUCGUGCCAACGGCAUAGCUGGGUAGCUAUGUGUGGACGGGAUAAGUGCUGAAAGCAUCUAAGCAUGAAGCCCCCCUCAAGAUGAGAUUUCCCAACUUCGGUUAUAAGAUCCCUCAAAGAUGAUGAGGUUAAUAGGUUCGAGGUGGAAGCAUGGUGACAUGUGGAGCUGACGAAUACUAA
This 1747-nucleotide ribosomal RNA is filed under the name Staphylococcus aureus. Its description in RNAcentral is "partial 23S ribosomal RNA". It matches the Rfam family "Bacterial large subunit ribosomal RNA", at positions 1154 to 2904 of the family's 2925-position model. Lineage: Bacteria; Bacillati; Bacillota; Bacilli; Caryophanales; Staphylococcaceae. The record is from RNAcentral.